GCCCCUCCUGCUGGCCGGGCCCUUUAGGGGCGGCCCUCCCACAGGGCAGCCUCCCCUGGCUCUGGGGAUGGUGGGGGGUGAGUGGGGCUGGCUCUGAGCACCCCAGUUGCUCACUGCACCACACGCUGUUUGGGUGUUCAGUGAGAAGCUCACCUCAGCGACACGGCCUGCCUCAGAGCUGCAACCUGGGACCCCGAAGGCUGUGGUGGUGCUCAGCGCUGAUGAAGCACCUGCCUGCUGGAUGACUUGCUCCGCUGGAAACCACCAGCUCAGCAAUAACAAAAAUAUCAUUACACUCUGAUUUCCCUUUGUAAUGCUAAAUCAGAGACUACGAAGGAUGGCAAGAGGCACUUACUGAGGUAAAAUAACGAGGAAUUCUUGGGUAAGAGGCAAAAUACAUGGAAUACCUUUUCUGCAGGCACCCAACCCCCUCCAGGAAGAUUAUAGGGUGGCCUUGACAAGGGUUCUUGAGUCUAGCAAACCCAAGUCAGAUCACUACAGGAAGAUAUAAGGAGAGAAUCAACUGAACUCCAAUUAAAUGAUUCAGAGCACUUACUUGUUGCUUCCCCAAGCAGAAAAGCUACCACAGCUGCUGCUCCUGUCCUGCAGAGAUGGCCAGAAGAAGAACUGUGUCUGGGCUCAGAUGGAAUGAACUGUAUCCCCAGGGAAGAAGUGAGAGCAAACUGUGGAAAGUCUGUGGUUUUAUCUACAUGUAUAUUAAGAGACUAUCAGGCCUGGAUUUCUCUCUUACCCUAUCAGUUCUCCACCAUGCUUUUUGUCACAGAUACUGACUGAUAUGGCUUGAUAUGGCACAGAUAUGGCUUGUCUGGCAUUAUUUAAUUUCUUCUAAAAAUGCUUAUUUUGUCCAAAGCAAAUUCCCUAUCAACACACCUUUCUAAAUUUUUCCUUUAAAUAAUAAGACAGAAGGAAGAACAGAAAGGUAUUUUAAUAAACUCAUCAGACUUCUUCUACAGUAUGGAAAAGUAUUUUUAAAAUUAAUCUUUUUGCAAUACAAUUGUUCAAGGAAAGGUAUUUCUACAAAAUAUUUUAAAAUUUCAAAUGAACAAGCAAUUGA
Molecule: long non-coding RNA, 1075 nt
Organism: Anas platyrhynchos (mallard)
Lineage: Eukaryota; Metazoa; Chordata; Aves; Anseriformes; Anatidae
Source: RefSeq, a predicted model, not a curated record